Molecule: long non-coding RNA, 309 nt
Filed under: Capsicum annuum
Lineage: Eukaryota; Viridiplantae; Streptophyta; Magnoliopsida; Solanales; Solanaceae
Description: long non-coding RNA (CANN_LNC012292)
Source: RNAcentral
UUCAGUUGAUAUAGAUCCUUUUGGAAAUUAUUCUGCAAACAUAAUAUUAUUCUUCUCUUCAGGAGAUAACGUAGCUGGACCUAAAACUUUAUUUUACGGAAUUGUCUCAUGAACUAUUUCUCAUAAUGUAUAGAAAGAGCCACCAACUUACUUGUGCAUCAAAUUAAGUGAUGGAAAAUUCUCGUCAUUUGACUUCAGAUAUUUCUUUAUGAAAGUUUCAACCAUAGUCUUCCUCUCUUCUUUUGAAUUCCUAAUCUUAGUAUUUCGGCCACCAGAGUCAUUAUCAGUAGCAAGGGCAAUGUUUGCCCG